RNAcentral lists this long non-coding RNA (1713 nucleotides) under Canis lupus familiaris (dog). RNAcentral describes it as "lncRNA (ENSCAFG00040002093.1)". Lineage: Eukaryota; Metazoa; Chordata; Mammalia; Carnivora; Canidae. The record is from RNAcentral.
CAUUAAUUGAAGUAAGUGGAUAUUUUAUUUCCUGGAAAUGAGCAUCAUCUCCCCAAAGCCUUGACUUUGGGGCUCAGAAUUCUGAUCGUGCCCUAGAGCCUUGCAUGUUUGGCCAGAUUACAUAGAUCCAGUGUGUGUGUGUGGGGGUGGGGGUUGUGUCUGUGUUGGGGGUCAUUCUCUGACUGCACCCAUUUGCUUAUACUAUUAUAAAGAAGAAACAUGUUUUUAACUGUAUGCGACAUCGCCCCCCCCCCCCCCCCCCCCCGCCGGCUGUUGGCUGCCUUUCCUGACUGUGCUGCUCCCUCGGAUGCGCCUCCAGCAGAAGUGAGCUCAGAAGCAGUCUAACCUCUGGGGCUGGAGACCUCGCCUCACGUCCCUGCUGCUGUGGACGAGUCCGAGACGGACAGGCCUCAGAAAAAAAAUUGAGUUUCCUGGAAUCUCUAUGGUCUAAUGCAUCCCGAGAAGAGACAUUGUCUCCCAAAUCCAAAUGGAAAACAAUAGGAAAUGUCUGCGUUGGAAUUCACAAAACCUCCACAGCACUCCUCAGAGGCACCUGCUAUGAACUUGGAUUUAUUUUUUACAUGUAGUUAAUGGCACAGAAUAAGGAAUCCCAUCGAUUCUAGACAGGCUGUCUGGCAUCAAAAAUUAAAAAACGAAACUAUUGAGGGACACCUGGGUGGCUCAGUUAUCUCAGUUAGUUAAGCGUCUGCCUUCGGCUCAGGUCAUGAUCUUGGGGUCCUGGGAUCGAGUCCCGCCUCGGGCUCCCUGCCCAGUGGAGGGGUCUACUCCUCCUUCUCCUUCUGUCCCUUUAAAGAAAAGAAACUAUUGAAAGCAAAGCUCCCAUUUGGCACAAAUAAUUGAAUGAUAUAGUUAAUUAAAUUGUGGGGCAGCCCUGGUGGCUCAGUGGUUUAGCGCCUGCCUUCAGCCCAGGGUGUGGUCCUGGGGUCCCGGGAUCGAGUCCCACAUCCGGCUCCCUGUGUAGAGCCUGCUUCUCCCUCUGCCUGUGUCUCUGCCUCUCUCUGUGUCUCUCAUGAAUAAAUAGAUAAAAUUUUAAAUAAAUAAAAUAAUAAAUAAAUAAAUAAAUAAAUAAAUAAAUAAAUAAAUAAAUUGUAACCAUUAUAUCUAAAGUGUAAUAGGGCUUUCUGAUUUUGUUGGCCUCGAAGUAAAUCUCCUUCCCUGACUCCGGAGAGCGCAGGGACCAGGUGCGGGCAUGCUCGGCGUCCUCCCGAGGGCGUGAAUUCCAGAAAGCCUGGGUUUGAUUCUUAGCCCUAAGAUGACCAGCUCUGGAAACCUGGUUCUUUGAUGAUCAGAUCAUUUUUUUUUAUUUAUCUGUGGAAAAAGCAUCAGAGCGGCCGUCGGGUCCCACCCAGAACCUGAGAAGACGUGCGGAGGGGCUCCGUGAACGAGCGCAGGCGGCGAGGAGCCCCUCUGCCCCGCGCUGACCCUCGCAUGGAGGGCAUCCCCACAAGGCAACCUGACGCUCCUGAUUGUGUCACCAGAAAAUAGAAGUGGGGCUUAGAGUGUGCAGAGCGAGAGGAACGGUCAGGUACGGAGAUACCGGGCUUGGGGCCCAGCAACCCCAACCCAGUGAUGGCCUCGAUCCCGAGCCCUGCAUCUAGACGGGCUGCGCUCCCUCUGUCUUUCACCGACAGCUGUGAAAUCACACUGGCUACGCACAAGUGAAAACUCUCAAAGAUUUCGGGACCAGUCGCC